Malaclemys terrapin pileata is the source of this 608-nucleotide long non-coding RNA. RefSeq lists it as uncharacterized. The transcript is spliced from 3 exons. The record is from RefSeq and is a predicted model, not a curated record. NCBI's taxonomy places the organism in Eukaryota, Metazoa, Chordata, Testudines, Emydidae.
AUUGAUUUACCUUCAGAUGUGUUUAGGACAAAACCUUCUGACCAUAGACCUGCUGGAUGACCUUGGCAUGAAAGGAUUUAUUACUCCUCCACUGAAUGCACUUCUGGCACCAAAUGGAGCUGGAUAAUAAUUGUCAGGCUCUGAGUUUAACAUUAUGAGAAAACACCUUUGGUGGAGUUCAGAGUUUAGCGGGUAAUGAAAAAUGCACCUAGAUGGGGAAGCUUCCUUUGAGACUUUGCUCGGCUGCUAAUGGCCACUGAUCAAUGCUCAAUGGCUGUUUUGUCAGAAGAAAUGUGCAGUGAGAGACCUGUCCUAUUGUGCUUUGUUAGCGGCUUCUUCAAUCUCUGGACAAAACUGAAAUGUCAGAAGUUGAAGACCAGGACUUGAAUAAAGCUUGUGCAUUUUAAAAUACAAUAUUCUCUUCUGUGAAAGAUUUGAAAUUGUUUGGUUAUAAAUUUAGGGUCAUUAUGAGGAAUAUUUUCUCCCAUAAUCCAGUCUAUGUUAGUUUCAGGCAUUUUGUAUGCAUGGUUUCCUUUACAUUCCGGAGAAAUGAGUUGCUCUUAAUGUUUUUCAUUCAAAUAAAAUCUGGUUAUUUGUUGUUAAAGCCA